RNAcentral lists this ribosomal RNA (301 nucleotides) under uncultured bacterium. Its description in RNAcentral is "partial 16S ribosomal RNA". It matches the Rfam family "Bacterial small subunit ribosomal RNA", at positions 509 to 809 of the family's 1533-position model. The record is from RNAcentral.
CAGCCGCCGCGGUAAUGCGUAGGUGGCAAGCGUUGUCCGGAAUUAUUGGGCGUAAAGCGCGCGCAGGCGGAUCAGUCAGUCUGUCUUAAAAGUUCGGGGCUUAACCCCGUGAUGGGAUGGAAACUGCUGAUCUAGAGUAUCGGAGAGGAAAGUGGAAUUCCUAGUGUAGCGGUGAAAUGCGUAGAUAUUAGGAAGAACACCAGUGGCGAAGGCGACUUUCUGGACGAAAACUGACGCUGAGGCGCGAAAGCCAGGGGAGCGAACGGGAUUAGAUACCCCUGUAGUCCCUGUCUCUUAUACA